This 91-nucleotide unclassified non-coding RNA is filed under the name Pseudomonas umsongensis. Its description in RNAcentral is "microRNA mir-598". The record is from RNAcentral. Lineage: Bacteria; Pseudomonadati; Pseudomonadota; Gammaproteobacteria; Pseudomonadales; Pseudomonadaceae.
CGAUUACGAACCUGUAGGAGCUGCCGCAGGCUGCGAUCUUUUGACUUUCAAGAUCAAAAGAUCGCAGCCUGCGGCAGCUCCUACAUCGGUU